Long non-coding RNA from Clupea harengus (Atlantic herring), 1409 nucleotides. Lineage: Eukaryota; Metazoa; Chordata; Actinopteri; Clupeiformes; Clupeidae. The record is from Ensembl.
CACAGGGCCACACACCGCAACUCCAGCUCACCAGUCCCGCCAGUGCGCUGCGGAUGGGACACCAAUGCGACCUUCGUGUAUGGCCUAAAAGGCAUUUCUCAUUAUCUUUCGGUCUCAAUUGCAGCAUGUUGUGGAGCUGACUUUGAAGCUUAAGACAACGGCGUUCUAUGUUUAUACGAUCUACUGGAGCCUAGAAAAGUUGGAAACUGAAGAUCAUAAACUUCCUGUGAGCUCACCAGUAGCCUACGGCCGGAAUUGGAUAAACAGGUUCGAUGUCGCUCAUUCACAUCGGCUCUUAAAAUGUUCUGUCUUCCUUUUAAUGGGAAAUGCACUUGAGAUGCCUGUGGCCAGGUGUAGGCUCCUGCAGUACAGUGUGGCUACUUGAGAACGCUAUAUCUUCCGGCGGAAAGGUGAAAGGUUCAUCUCAGCGCAGCAUACAGAAUAUACCCAGAGAGUAAAGCUGGAAGGACCAAGUGGACUAGCAUUUUCCAAGGACUCCAGCACUUAAUCUAUUGCUUGGCGAAUGAAAACCGCCUGUGGACGACAUGUUGGCUGAGAGGAACAAUGAACAAUACGUGGAUAAUCAAAGCACCACUUUGAAGAACAUGAAUAUUUAGGAAGAUGCCUGUCAGAAUCAACAAAGAUCUUACCUUCCAGUGGAGGAGAUAGAUUCUUUUGCCCGUCUCAUUUUCAUUUCACGCUGUGCUCCUCUGGCACUCAGAGAGGCGGCCACUCAACCCCCCACUCACCAGAGGGGUCCAGACCACCUGGCUCCAGGGGCAGCUGACUGGCCUAUUCAGCUGAAUGCACAGGCAGACCAGCGGCUCAUCCCUGGCCUGCCCCGGAGGUGGACGCGUGGAGUGCGAGGGGCCUGUGUGGAAGGUCAGCGGAGCCAGAGGAAAAGCCCACGUUUGUGGGAGCGCGAGGCGAGUGGAUGAGUGACCAUUUACACCCGAGUGGAACAUAGGGAGAGAUUCACGGGGAGUCAGCUGAUGCUACUGGCACUAUAUUUGUAUCGCAGGAAGGGAUGGGAAUUAUUUACUUCCUGCCAUUAUAGAAUAAAGGGAUCGAAGAGGGGAGAAAGAGUGACAGAAGUAAUAUGGCGUAUUUUUAACUAAAGGGGGACGGGAAUACCCAUGUGUUUGGAUUCACUCUGCUGAUUUCUGCUCCAGGUGUCCGUCAGAGAUUGCCUAGUAUGGUUAUUUAAUUAGUAUCUUUGACAAAAUUCCGUUUCUAUUUGGAAUUCUCAGAAUAUACUAUAAUUCAUGCAUCAGCCAUUUGUAUGUUAGUCUUAGGUUAGGUGGCUGUUUUUGAAUGCAUUUCAGAGCCAGUAUUAUUUUGUCACAGAUGUUAUGAGAUGUUUCAACAAGACAUGUCAUUUGAUUACUCUAUUGCCAUUGUUGAGUCUA